Molecule: transfer RNA, 86 nt
Filed under: Spirochaetota bacterium
Lineage: Bacteria; Pseudomonadati; Spirochaetota
Description: Spirochaetes bacterium tRNA-Ile
Rfam family: tRNA
About the family: Transfer RNA (tRNA) molecules are approximately 80 nucleotides in length. Their secondary structure includes four short double-helical elements and three loops (D, anti-codon, and T loops).
Source: RNAcentral
UGUGACGUGGAUGAAUGGUUUAGUCACCACGCUGAUACCGUGGGUACACAAGUACAACGUGGGUUCGAGUCCCACCGUCACAACGA